CCUACGGGGGGCAGCAGUGGGGAAUAUUGCACAAUGGGCGCAAGCCUGAUGCAGCCAUGCCGCGUGUGUGAAGAAGGCCUUCGGGUCGUAAAGCACUUUCAGCGGGGAGGAAGGCGUUAAGGUUAAUAACCUUGUCGAUUGACGUUACCCGCAGAAGAAGCACCGGCUAACUCCGUGCCAGCAGCCGCGGUAAUACGGAGGGUGCAAGCGUUAAUCGGAAUUACUGGGCGUAAAGCGCACGCAGGCGGUCUGUCAAGUCGGAUGUGAAAUCCCCGGGCUCAACCUGGGAACUGCAUUCGAAACUGGCGGGCUAGAGUCUUGUAGAGGGGGGUGGAAUUCCAGGUGUAGCGGUGAAAUGCGUAGAGAUCUGGAGGAAUGCCGGUGGCGAAGGCGGCCCCCUGGACAAAGACUGACGCUCAGGUGCGAAAGCGUGGGGAGCAAACAGGAUUAGAUACCCGUGUAGUC
This 465-nucleotide ribosomal RNA is filed under the name uncultured Klebsiella sp. RNAcentral describes it as "bacterial SSU rRNA". It matches the Rfam family "Bacterial small subunit ribosomal RNA", at positions 338 to 795 of the family's 1533-position model. The record is from RNAcentral. Lineage: Bacteria; Pseudomonadati; Pseudomonadota; Gammaproteobacteria; Enterobacterales; Enterobacteriaceae.